Molecule: transfer RNA, 73 nt
Filed under: Ailuropoda melanoleuca (giant panda)
Lineage: Eukaryota; Metazoa; Chordata; Mammalia; Carnivora; Ursidae
Rfam family: tRNA
About the family: Transfer RNA (tRNA) molecules are approximately 80 nucleotides in length. Their secondary structure includes four short double-helical elements and three loops (D, anti-codon, and T loops).
Source: Rfam by way of RNAcentral
GCCUGGCUGGCUCAGUCAGGAGAGCAUGCAACUCUCAAUCUCUGUAGUGUGAGUUCAAGCCCCAUGCUGGGCA